CCUACGGGCGGCAGCAGUGGGGAAUAUUGGACAAUGGGGGCAACCCUGAUCCAGCCAUGCCGCGUGUGUGAAGAAGGCCCUCGGGUUGUAAAGCACUUUCAGUGAGGAAGAACGCCUGGUGGUUAAUACCCAUCAGGAAAGACAUCACUCACAGAAGAAGCACCGGCUAACUCCGUGCCAGCAGCCGCGGUAAUACGGAGGGUGCGAGCGUUAAUCGGAAUUACUGGGCGUAAAGCGCGCGUAGGUGGCUUGAUAAGCCGGUUGUGAAAUCCCCGGGCUCAACCUGGGAACGGCAUCCGGAACUGUCAAGCUAGAGUGCAGGAGAGGAAGGUAAAAUUCCCGGUGUAGCGGUGAAAUGAGUAGAGAUCGGGAGGAAUACCAGUGGCGAAGGCGGCCUUCUGGACUGACACUGACACUGAGGUGCGAAAGCGUGGGUAGCAAACAGGAUUAGAUACCCUUGUAGUC
Molecule: ribosomal RNA, 465 nt
Filed under: Vreelandella stevensii
Lineage: Bacteria; Pseudomonadati; Pseudomonadota; Gammaproteobacteria; Oceanospirillales; Halomonadaceae
Description: partial 16S ribosomal RNA
Rfam family: Bacterial small subunit ribosomal RNA
Source: RNAcentral